AUAACCCCUUAACUCACAAGGUUCUGAAUAGUUGGUUUUAGGUUGGGGCGACCACGGAGAAUAACAAAACCUCCACAAUGAAUGGGGUAUUUCCCCUCAUCUAAGAAUUACAACUCCAAGAAUUAGUACACUAACAUAAAUGAUCCAUUUAAAUGAUCAAUGAACCAAGUUACCCUGGGGAUAACAGCGCAAUCCAUUUCAAGAGCUCCUAUCGACAAAU
This 220-nucleotide ribosomal RNA is filed under the name Mantidactylus grubenmanni. RNAcentral's name for it is "partial 16S ribosomal RNA". The record is from RNAcentral. Lineage: Eukaryota; Metazoa; Chordata; Amphibia; Anura; Mantellidae.